AUGGCAAAUCCUACACAAGGUCGUUCCUCUUCCAUCCUCCCAGCAUCUGGACGGCAGGCACCUCAACAGGCCGUCCUCCUCUGGGCUGCUCCACAGUUCGUCUCAAAGUGUGGGCUGCACGUGCUGCAUCAUGGAAGAAGAAAGCCUCCUCGCCGCAGCUUGGCCUGCUCAGCCUCCAGGCUUCCUUCCACCGAACCACCCUAUGUUGAGGAGAUGUUGGCACGAGAAAAUAUAAGGACGCGCAACACGGAACGGAAGGCUAGAAUACAAAAACAUCUGGAAAAACCUGAAUUCUCGCCAUCUGCAUAUGACACAGCAUGGGUGGCUAUGGUGCCAUUGCCAGACACCGAUCGGCAGGCUCCAUGCUUCCCUCAGUGUGUUGAAUGGAUAUUGCAAAAUCAACACUGUAGUGGUUCUUGGGGUAUCAACCAAUUCGGCUUAUUAGCAAACAAGGAUAUUCUGUUAUCAACGUUGGCUUGUAUCAUUGCACUUAAGAAAUGGAACGUUGGCUCCGACCACAUAAGUAGAGGAUUAGAAUUUAUUGGAAGGAAUAUCUCCACUGUAAUGGAUAAGCAGAUUGUUUCUCCUAUAGGCUUCAAUCUCAUUUUCCCUGGUAUGUUUAACCAUGCUAUCAGGAUGGGUUUGGAAUUUCCAGUCAGAGAAACUGAUAUCAGUGGGAUACUUCACCUUUGUGAGAUGGAGCUGAGAAGAUUGGCUGGUGAGGAAUCUAAUGGGAAAGAAGCAUAUCUUGCCUUUGUUGCUGAAGAAGGGUUGGUAAGCCUGCUGGACCGCAAUGAAGUUAUGAACUUCCAGAGAAAGAAUGGGUCGUUGUUCAACUCUCCUGCCGCAACGGCCGCUGUAUUAGUCCACCGCUAUGAUGAUAAAGCUCUCCAAUACCUCAAUUCCAUUGUCAGUAUAUUUGGCAGUACGGUACCAACAGUGUACCCACAGAAUAUAUAUUAUCAGCUCUCAAUGGUGGAUAUGCUCGAAAAGAUCGGAAUAACUCGGCACUUUUCCAGUGAGAUAAACAGUAUCCUGGACAAGGCGUACAUUUCCUGGUUACAGAGAGAUGAGGAAAUAAUCCAAGAUGCAGAAACAUGUGCAAUGGCGUUUCGACUUUUACGGAUGAAUGGAUAUGAUGUUUCGUCAGAUGAGUUGUCCAAUGUUUCUCAAGCCUCCACUUUCCAUGACUCAAUGGAAGGAUAUUUAAAUCAAACAAAAUCUUUAUUAGAGUUAUACAAGGCUUCAAAACUAUGUUUGUCAGAAAAUGAAUUGAUCCUGGAGAACAUAAGUAACUGGUCAGGCCGCUUAUUGACAGAAAAGUUGUGCUGUAGUGGGACAAAAAGAACGCCAAUUCUUGGAGAGGUAGAAUAUACUCUUAAAUUUCCAUUUUAUGCAACUGUGGAAGCUCUAGACCGUAAGAGGAACAUUGAACAUUUUGACUCUAGGGUUUCUCAGCAGCUAAAGACAAAAAACUUGCUGUGUCAUGUUAAUCAAGAUAUUCUAGAUUUUGCCAUUGAAGAUUUCAGUAUUUCUCAAUCUAUAUACCAGGAUGAACUCAGCCACCUCGAGAGGUGGGAGAAAGAAAACAGGCUGCACCAGCUAAGAUUUCUACGCAAGGGGAGUCUGAUAAAUUGUUAUCUCUCUGCUGCUGCAACCAUAUCCGCUCAUGAAUUCUCUGAUGCUCGCAUUGCAUGUGCGAAAGCUAUUGCACUCGUACUUGUUACUGAUGACUUCUUUGAUGUUGGAGCAUCCAAGGAAGAACAAGAAAACCUCAUAGCAUUAGUAGAGAAGUGGGAUCACCAUCACAAAGUUGAGUUCUACUCCGAGCAAGUAGAAGUAGUAUUUUCUGCUUUUUAUACCACAGUUAAUCAGCUUGGAGAAAUGGCUUCCGCAGUACAAAACUGCGAUGUUACAAAGCACUUGGAUGAAACAUGGCUACAUUACAUGAGGUCUGUGGCAACCGAGGCAAAAUGGCAACGGAAUCAAUAUGUGCCAACAGUUGAGGAAUACAUGACAGACGCGCUUACCUCAUACGGGAUGGGCCCGAUUAUGCUCACAUCACUGUAUUUUGUCCAAAACAAACUUAUGAAGCACAUUAUCAAAGACCCGGAGUACAGUGAGUUGCUUAGACUAAUGGGUACAUGUGGCCGUCUCUUGAAUGAUACUCAAGGCUUUGAGAGGGAAUCCAGAGACGGAAAACUGAACAUCAUCUCACUGCUUGUUCUUCAGAGUGGAGGUUCCAUGUCCAUAGAAGCUGCUCAAGAGGCGACACAGGAGUCUGUAGCCUCAUGUCGGAGAGACCUGCUAAGGAUGGUUGUCAGAGAAGACCGUGUUGUUCCUAGACCAUGCAAGGAGGUGUUCUGGAGGUUUUGUAAGACAGCUCACUUGUUCUACUGUCACACCGACGGAUUUUCCUCCCCCAAGGAAAUGCUCCACGCGAUGAAUGCAAUAUUUAGAGAGCCACUUAAACUUCAAACUAGCAGUCCGUUGGCUGUUCAAUCAGAAGAAUAA
Molecule: ribosomal RNA, 2514 nt
Filed under: Triticum aestivum (bread wheat)
Lineage: Eukaryota; Viridiplantae; Streptophyta; Magnoliopsida; Poales; Poaceae
Description: partial small subunit ribosomal RNA
Source: RNAcentral